This 253-nucleotide ribosomal RNA is filed under the name uncultured bacterium. RNAcentral describes it as "partial 16S ribosomal RNA". It matches the Rfam family "Bacterial small subunit ribosomal RNA", at positions 524 to 776 of the family's 1533-position model. The record is from RNAcentral.
UACGUAGGGUGCAAGCGUUGUCCGGAAUUAUUGGGCGUAAAGAGCUCGUAGGCGGUCUGUUGCGUCGGCUGUGAAAACCCGGGGCUCAACUCCGGGCCUGCAGCCGAUACGGGCAGACUAGAGUACUGCAGGGGAGACUGGAAUUCCUGGUGUAGCGGUGAAAUGCGCAGAUAUCAGGAGGAACACCGGUGGCGAAGGCGGGUCUCUGGGCAGUAACUGACGCUGAGGAGCGAAAGCGUGGGGAGCGAACAGG